This 484-nucleotide ribosomal RNA is filed under the name uncultured bacterium. Its description in RNAcentral is "partial 16S ribosomal RNA". It matches the Rfam family "Bacterial small subunit ribosomal RNA", at positions 29 to 507 of the family's 1533-position model. The record is from RNAcentral.
AUUGAACGCUGGCGGCAUGCUUUACACAUGCAAGUCGAACGGCAACACGCGCUUCGGUCUUGACGCGAGUGGAGCACGGGUGAAUAAUGCAUCGGAACGUGCCCAGUAGUGGGGGAUCGCACGGCGAAAGCCGGAUAAAUACCGCAUGCGACGUGAGGGAGAAAGCGGGGGACCGAAAGGACGCUCGCCAUUGGACCGGCCGAUGUCGGAUUAGCUAGUUGGUGGGGUAAAGGCUUACCAAGCCGACGAUCCGUAGCUGGUCUGAGAGGACGACCAGCCACACUGGGACUGAGACACGGCCCAGACUCCUACGGGAGGCAGCAGUGGGGAAUUUUGGACAAUGGGGGCAACCCUGAUCCAGCCAUGCCGCGUGCGGGAAGAAGGCCUUCGGGUUGUAAACCGCUUUUGUUCGGGACGAAAACCUCUUGGCUAAUACCUCGGGGGGAUGACGGUACCGGAAGAAUAAGCACCGGCUAACUACGUG